This 253-nucleotide ribosomal RNA is filed under the name uncultured bacterium. Its description in RNAcentral is "partial 16S ribosomal RNA". It matches the Rfam family "Bacterial small subunit ribosomal RNA", at positions 524 to 776 of the family's 1533-position model. The record is from RNAcentral.
UACAGGGGGUGCAAACGUUGCUCGGAAUUAUUGGGCGUAAAGCGCGCGUAGGCGGCUACUUAAGUCGGAUGUGAAAGCCCUUGGCUCAACUGAGGAAGUGCACCCGAAACUGAGUGGCUAGAGUACGAAAGAGGGUCGCGGAAUUCCCGGUGUAGAGGUGAAAUUCGUAGAUAUCGGGAGGAACACCGGUGGCGAAGGCGGGUCUCUGGGCCGAUACUGACGCUGAGACGCGAAAGCGUGGGGAGCGAACAGG